Molecule: ribosomal RNA, 433 nt
Filed under: uncultured bacterium
Lineage: Bacteria
Description: bacterial SSU rRNA
Rfam family: Bacterial small subunit ribosomal RNA
Source: RNAcentral
AACGAACGCUGGCGGCAGGCUUAACACAUGCAAGUCGAACGCCCCGCAAGGGAGUGGCAGACGGGUGAGUAACACGUGGGAACGUGCCCUAAGGUUUGGAAUAUUCCCGGGAAACUGGGAGCAAUACCAAAUGUGUCCGCAAGGAGAAAGAUUUAUCGCCUUAGGAUCGGCCCGCGUUGGAUUAGCUAGUUGGUGGGGUAAAAGCCUACCAAGGCGACGAUCCAUAGCUGGUCUGAGAGGACGACCAGCCACACUGGGACUGAGACACGGCCCAGACUCCUACGGGAGGCAGCAGUGGGGAAUCUUGGACAAUGGGCGCAAGCCUGAUCCAGCCAUGCCGCGUGAGUGAUGAAGGCCUUAGGGUUGUAAAACUCUUUCGCCGAGGACGAUAAUGACGGUACUCGGAGAAGAAGCUCCGGCUAACUUCGUGCCA